This 111-nucleotide microRNA precursor is filed under the name Pelobates cultripes (western spadefoot toad). Lineage: Eukaryota; Metazoa; Chordata; Amphibia; Anura; Pelobatidae. The record is from RNAcentral.
UCCAGCCCUCCAGAUGUUGCUGAACUACAACUCCCAUGAUUCUAUGAAUGCAAUAGACAGGCUGAGAAUCAUGGGAGUUGUAGUACAGCAACAUCUGGAGGGCUGGAGUAG